This 686-nucleotide ribosomal RNA is filed under the name Minisyncoccota bacterium. RNAcentral's name for it is "partial 23S ribosomal RNA". It matches the Rfam family "Bacterial large subunit ribosomal RNA", at positions 1 to 584 of the family's 2925-position model. Lineage: Bacteria; Bacillati; Minisyncoccota. The record is from RNAcentral.
CCUAUGGGAACGAAGGGUGUAUGGUGGAUGCCUUGGCUUCAAGAAGCGAUGAAGGACGUGUUAUGGCUGCGAUAAGUUUCGGGGAGGUGCCAAAUAACCUUUGAUCCGGAAAUGUCCGAAUGGGGAAACCCUCCUGUCAUCGGCAGGAACCCUUGUAUGAGGGAGCGUACCUAGGGAAGUGAAACAUCUCAGUACCUAGAGGAAUAGAAAGCAAUAUACGGAAAUUUCUUUCUGAACAGAUGCUUAGCAUCACGUUCAGAAUUUAUUCUGAACAUUGGUGCGCAAGCGCCAUUAUGUUCAGGAAGAAGUUUCUUGCGAUUCCCCAAGUAGCGGCGAGCGAAACGGGAACAGCCCAAACCAUACGUAUUUAUAUGUAUGGGGUUGUAGGGCGGAAUUGGCAUUUAGUUGCGCAGAGUUACCAAAGAGAUAUAUAGGAAAACGAGCUGGGAAGCUCGACCCCAGAAGGUAAUAGUCCUGUAUUCGAAAUGUAUCUCUCUCUGUUGAUUCCGUUCCUGAGUAGCCCGAGACAUGAAUAGCUCGGGUGAAUCUACCAGAACUAACUGGUAAGGCUAAAUAUUCUUGGAGACCGAUAGUGAACAAGUACCGUGAGGGAAAGGUGAAAAGAACCCCGGAGAGGGGAGUGAAAUAGAUCUGAAACCAUACACCUACAAGGAGUCGGAGCCUCA